UGUUAUGGCGGCUGUGUGCGGGGCACUUUCGAGUGCGCCGGGUUUUGCUAGCUCCCCCGGUCUGUCAAACCGCACAUAGCUGCCACCUGU
This 90-nucleotide non-coding RNA is filed under the name Pseudomonas psychrophila. Lineage: Bacteria; Pseudomonadati; Pseudomonadota; Gammaproteobacteria; Pseudomonadales; Pseudomonadaceae. RNAcentral also lists the same sequence under 1 other name. The record is from RNAcentral.